RNAcentral lists this small RNA (522 nucleotides) under Pongo abelii (Sumatran orangutan). RNAcentral's name for it is "processed transcript". The record is from RNAcentral. Lineage: Eukaryota; Metazoa; Chordata; Mammalia; Primates; Hominidae.
UUUAUAAAAGCAGGGAGCUGGAGCAUCACACCCUUGUACCGCCAGUCCUCAUGUUUAUGCCAUACCAUCAAGGCUUAUACAGCAGAUGCUGUAGCCCAUGGUGGUGUGAGCUGCCAGGUCGUGCUGCACAGCUAGCUCAUGGAGUCUCAAGACUACUUUUUUUUUUUUAUAGGUAUUGGAAAUCUACAAAGGACAUCCAGCCAACGAAGUACCCUUACAUACCAAAGAAAUAAUUAUGCUCUGAACACAACAGCUACCUACGCGGAGCCCUACAGGCCUAUACAAUACCGAGUGCAAGAGUGCAAUUAUAACAGGCUUCAGCAUGCAGUGCCAGCUGAUGACGGCACCACAAGAUCCCCAUCAAUAGACAGCAUUCAGAAGGACCCCAGGGAGUUUGCCUGGCGUGAUCCUGAGUUGCCUGAGGUCAUUCACAUGCUUCAGCACCAGUUCCCAUCUGUUCAGGCAAAUGCAGCGGCCUACCUGCAGCACCUGUGCUUUGGUGACAACAAAGUGAAGAUGGAG